RNAcentral lists this ribosomal RNA (116 nucleotides) under Periophthalmus magnuspinnatus. The record is from RNAcentral. Lineage: Eukaryota; Metazoa; Chordata; Actinopteri; Gobiiformes; Gobiidae.
ACUUGUGGCCAAACCUCCUUGUCAUAGCCUAAUCUGGUCAGAUCUUAGAAUCUAAACAGGGCUGGGCCUGGUUAGUACUUGGAUGUGAGACUGCUGGAAUUCCAGUACCGUAAAGC